Molecule: transfer RNA, 77 nt
Filed under: Candidatus Latescibacterota bacterium
Lineage: Bacteria; Pseudomonadati; Candidatus Latescibacterota
Description: tRNA-Phe
Rfam family: tRNA (bases 8-71)
About the family: Transfer RNA (tRNA) molecules are approximately 80 nucleotides in length. Their secondary structure includes four short double-helical elements and three loops (D, anti-codon, and T loops). Further hydrogen bonds mediate the characteristic L-shaped molecular structure. tRNAs have two regions of fundamental functional importance: the anti-codon, which is responsible for specific mRNA codon recognition, and the 3' end, to which the tRNAs corresponding amino acid is attached (by aminoacyl-tRNA synthetases). tRNAs cope with the degeneracy of the genetic code in two manners: having more than one tRNA (with a specific anti-codon) for a particular amino acid; and 'wobble' base-pairing, i.e. permitting non-standard base-pairing at the 3rd anti-codon position.
Source: RNAcentral
GGUGGCGCUUUAGCUCAGUAGGUAGAGCAGGAGACUGAAAAUCUCUGUGUCCGCGGUUCGAUUCCGCGAGGACAGCC